RNAcentral lists this ribosomal RNA (408 nucleotides) under Salmonella enterica subsp. enterica serovar Infantis. RNAcentral describes it as "partial 23S ribosomal RNA". It matches the Rfam family "Bacterial large subunit ribosomal RNA", at positions 161 to 605 of the family's 2925-position model. Lineage: Bacteria; Pseudomonadati; Pseudomonadota; Gammaproteobacteria; Enterobacterales; Enterobacteriaceae. The record is from RNAcentral. RNAcentral also lists the same sequence under 10 other names.
AAUCCAUAGGUUAAUGAGGCGAACCGGGGGAACUGAAACAUCUAAGUACCCCGAGGAAAAGAAAUCAACCGAGAUUCCCCCAGUAGCGGCGAGCGAACGGGGAGGAGCCCAGAGCCUGAAUCAGCAUGUGUGUUAGUGGAAGCGUCUGGAAAGGCGCGCGAUACAGGGUGACAGCCCCGUACACAAAAGCGCAUGUGCUGUGAGCUCGAUGAGUAGGGCGGGACACGUGGUAUCCUGUCUGAAUAUGGGGGGACCAUCCUCCAAGGCUAAAUACUCCUGACUGACCGAUAGUGAACCAGUACCGUGAGGGAAAGGCGAAAAGAACCCCGGCGAGGGGAGUGAAAAAGAACCUGAAACCGUGUACGUACAAGCAGUGGGAGCACAGGUUUACCUGUGUGACUGCGUACC